Molecule: ribosomal RNA, 343 nt
Filed under: uncultured bacterium
Lineage: Bacteria
Description: bacterial SSU rRNA
Rfam family: Bacterial small subunit ribosomal RNA
Source: RNAcentral
GUGAGUAGUUCUAGAGUUUGAUCCUGGCCAGGAUGAACGCUAGCGACAGGCCUAACACAUGCAAGUCGAGGGGCAGCAUGAAAGUAGCUUGCUACUUUUGAUGGCGACCGGCGCACGGGUGCGUAACAGGUGUGCAAUCUGUCCAUAAUCGGGGAAUAGCCCAGCGAAAGUUGGAUUAAUGCUCCAUGUGAGCCGAGGAGGCAUCUCCUUGGUUUGAAACGCAAGGAUUAUGGGUGAGCACGCUUCUGAUUAGGUAGUUGGUGAGGUAACGGCUCACCAAGCCGACGAUCAGUAGGGGUUCUGAGAGGAAGGUCCCCCACAUUGGAACUGAGACACGGUCCAA